RNAcentral lists this small RNA (547 nucleotides) under Histoplasma capsulatum var. duboisii H88. RNAcentral describes it as "Histoplasma capsulatum H88 hypothetical RNA". Lineage: Eukaryota; Fungi; Ascomycota; Eurotiomycetes; Onygenales; Ajellomycetaceae. The record is from RNAcentral.
CACAUACUCAGUUCUGCAUGGAAUUGGAGGUUUGUAACUAGUUAUCAAUCAUAUCAAUCAAUCAAUCAGCCACUUAUUUCUCAACUUCCAGAUAUUAUUCAUUUCUCUUAUUGUAGCUAUCUGAACAAAAAAAGAAAAGUUCAACCAAAAAAAAUUUAAAAAAAAAUUGAAGAAAUAAUCAAUAAUCAACAAUAAUCAAUUAAUAAAUAAAUCAUCAGAAUACAAAAAAACCAUGAGUGAAAUAUAAAUAACAGAUAAAAAACAAAAUGCCAUCAAAGCAGUAGUAGUAAUAGCAGUAGUAGUAGUAGUAGCAGCAGCAGCAGUAGUAAGUAGUAGUACACACUGUCUCUCCAAACACACAUACACAACAAUUGGAGACGGGGUUGCGCAGCCGUUUAAGAGAUAGACAGAGAAGAAAAAGAAAGGAAGAAAAGCAAGAAAAAAAAAAAUUACAUAGCAGCAGACCCCUUUCUCCUCGGGUUGAUUUUCCUCAUUUUCCCCAUCCCGUCCCCUCAUCUUUAUACGAAGGAAAUAUAAAAUAAACAAU